RNAcentral lists this transfer RNA (62 nucleotides) under Pulex irritans. Its description in RNAcentral is "tRNA-Arg". The record is from RNAcentral. Lineage: Eukaryota; Metazoa; Arthropoda; Insecta; Siphonaptera; Pulicidae.
AAUAAGAAGCAAUUUUGCAAAUAGUUUCGACCUAUUCAUUUGAUAUUUAAGUAUCCUUAUUU